RNAcentral lists this ribosomal RNA (429 nucleotides) under Chloroflexota bacterium. RNAcentral's name for it is "Chloroflexi bacterium partial 16S ribosomal RNA". It matches the Rfam family "Bacterial small subunit ribosomal RNA", at positions 355 to 776 of the family's 1533-position model. Lineage: Bacteria; Bacillati; Chloroflexota. The record is from RNAcentral.
UGGGGAAUAUUGCACAAUGGGCGCAAGCCUGAUGCAGCUAUGCCGCGUGUGUGAAGAAGGCCUUCGGGUUGUAAAGCACUUUCAGCGGGGAGGAAGGCGGUGAGGUUAAUAACCUCAUCGAUUGACGUUACCCGCAGAAGAAGCACCGGCUAACUCCGUGCCAGCAGCCGCGGUAAUACGGAGGGUGCAAGCGUUAAUCGGAAUUACUGGGCGUAAAGCGCACGCAGGCGGUCUGUCAAGUCGGAUGUGAAAUCCCCGGGCUCAACCUGGGAACUGCAUUCGAAACUGGCAGGCUAGAGUCUUGUAGAGGGGGGUAGAAUUCCAGGUGUAGCGGUGAAAUGCGUAGAGAUCUGGAGGAAUACCGGUGGCGAAGGCGGCCCCCUGGACAAAGACUGACGCUCAGGUGCGAAAGCGUGGGGAGCAAACAGG